UGCCUAAACCGCGCUUAUACGCACGGCAUGGCUAAAAAAGACCCAAGGAUGAUACUGAACCCCGCGUUCAGCGACUCAUCCUUGGGCUAUAUUGGGAAACCGGUAUAGGGUCGCAAGACCU
RNAcentral lists this small RNA (121 nucleotides) under unclassified sequences. RNAcentral's name for it is "LOOT RNA". It matches the Rfam family "LOOT RNA". From Rfam's summary of the family: Latescibacteria, OD1/Parcubacteria, OP11, TM7. The record is from Rfam by way of RNAcentral.